Molecule: ribosomal RNA, 1418 nt
Filed under: Escherichia coli
Lineage: Bacteria; Pseudomonadati; Pseudomonadota; Gammaproteobacteria; Enterobacterales; Enterobacteriaceae
Description: partial 23S ribosomal RNA
Rfam family: Bacterial large subunit ribosomal RNA
Source: RNAcentral
UGUGUGUUAGUGGAAGCGUCUGGAAAGGCGCGCGAUACAGGGUGACAGCCCCGUACACAAAAAUGCACAUGCUGUGAGCUCGAUGAGUAGGGCGGGACACGUGGUAUCCUGUCUGAAUAUGGGGGGACCAUCCUCCAAGGCUAAAUACUCCUGACUGACCGAUAGUGAACCAGUACCGUGAGGGAAAGGCGAAAAGAACCCCGGCGAGGGGAGUGAAAAAGAACCUGAAACCGUGUACGUACAAGCAGUGGGAGCACGCUUAGGCGUGUGACUGCGUACCUUUUGUAUAAUGGGUCAGCGACUUAUAUUCUGUAGCAAGGUUAACCGAAUAGGGGAGCCGAAGGGAAACCGAGUCUUAACUGGGCGUUAAGUUGCAGGGUAUAGACCCGAAACCCGGUGAUCUAGCCAUGGGCAGGUUGAAGGUUGGGUAACACUAACUGGAGGACCGAACCGACUAAUGUUGAAAAAUUAGCGGAUGACUUGUGGCUGGGGGUGAAAGGCCAAUCAAACCGGGAGAUAGCUGGUUCUCCCCGAAAGCUAUUUAGGUAGCGCCUCGUGAAUUCAUCUCCGGGGGUAGAGCACUGUUUCGGCAAGGGGGUCAUCCCGACUUACCAACCCGAUGCAAACUGCGAAUACCGGAGAAUGUUAUCACGGGAGACACACGGCGGGUGCUAACGUCCGUCGUGAAGAGGGAAACAACCCAGACCGCCAGCUAAGGUCCCAAAGUCAUGGUUAAGUGGGAAACGAUGUGGGAAGGCCCAGACAGCCAGGAUGUUGGCUUAGAAGCAGCCAUCAUUUAAAGAAAGCGUAAUAGCUCACUGGUCGAGUCGGCCUGCGCGGAAGAUGUAACGGGGCUAAACCAUGCACCGAAGCUGCGGCAGCGACGCUGAUGCGUUGUUGGGUAGGGGAGCGUUCUGUAAGCCUGCGAAGGUGUGCUGUGAGGCAUGCUGGAGGUAUCAGAAGUGCGAAUGCUGACAUAAGUAACGAUAAAGCGGGUGAAAAGCCCGCUCGCCGGAAGACCAAGGGUUCCUGUCCAACGUUAAUCGGGGCAGGGUGAGUCGACCCCUAAGGCGAGGCCGAAAGGCGUAGUCGAUGGGAAACAGGUUAAUAUUCCUGUACUUGGUGUUACUGCGAAGGGGGGACGGAGAAGGCUAUGUUGGCCGGGCGACGGUUGUCCCGGUUUAAGCGUGUAGGCUGGUUUUCCAGGCAAAUCCGGAAAAUCAAGGCUGAGGCGUGAUGACGAGGCACUACGGUGCUGAAGCAACAAAUGCCCUGCUUCCAGGAAAAGCCUCUAAGCAUCAGGUAACAUCAAAUCGUACCCCAAACCGACACAGGUGGUCAGGUAGAGAAUACCAAGGCGCUUGAGAGAACUCGGGUGAAGGAACUAGGCAAAAUGGUGCCGUAACUUCGGGAGAAGG